AAUAGAUACCCUGGUAGUCCACGCCGUAAACGAUGAGUGCUAAGUGUUAGGGGGUUUCCGCCCCUUAGUGCUGCGAGCUAACGCAUUAAGCACUCCGCCUGGGGAGUACGGUCGCAAGACUGAAACUCAAAGGAAUUGACGGGGGCCCGCACAAGCGGUGGAGCAUGUGGUUUAAUUCGAAGCAACGCGAAGAACCUUACCAGGUCUUGACAUCCCGCUGACCGCUAUGGAGACAUAGCUUUCCCUUCGGGGACAGCGGUGACAGGUGGUGCAUGGUCGUCGUCAGCUCGUGUCGUGAGAUGUUGGGUUAAGUCCCGCAACGAGCGCAACCCUUGUUCUUAGUUGCCAUCAUUAAGUUGGGCACUCUAAGGAGACUGCCGGUGAUAAACCGGAGGAAGGUGGGGAUGACGUCAAAUCAUCAUGCCCCUUAUGACCUGGGCUACACACGUGCUACAAUGGACGGUACAAACGGUUGCGAAGUCGCGAGACGGAGCCAAUCCGAGAAAACCGUUCUCAGUUCGGAUUGUAGG
This 530-nucleotide ribosomal RNA is filed under the name uncultured bacterium. Its description in RNAcentral is "bacterial SSU rRNA". It matches the Rfam family "Bacterial small subunit ribosomal RNA", at positions 777 to 1304 of the family's 1533-position model. The record is from RNAcentral.